UACGAAGGGUGUAAGCGUUGUUCGGAUUUAUUGGGCGUAAAGCGCGCGCAGGCGGAUCAGCAAGUCAGAUGUGAAAUCUCGGGGCUCAACCCCGAAAGUGCGUCUGAAACUACUAAUCUAGAGUGUUGGAGAGGAAAGGGGAAUUUCUCAUGUAGGGGUAAAAUCCGUAGAGAUGAGAAGGAACACCAGAGGCGAAGGCGCCUUUCUGGCCAACUACUGACGCUGAGGCGCGAAAGCGUGGGGAGCAAACAGG
This 253-nucleotide ribosomal RNA is filed under the name uncultured bacterium. RNAcentral's name for it is "partial 16S ribosomal RNA". It matches the Rfam family "Bacterial small subunit ribosomal RNA", at positions 524 to 776 of the family's 1533-position model. The record is from RNAcentral.